Molecule: long non-coding RNA, 1006 nt
Organism: Papaver somniferum (opium poppy)
Lineage: Eukaryota; Viridiplantae; Streptophyta; Magnoliopsida; Ranunculales; Papaveraceae
Exons: 3
Source: RefSeq, a predicted model, not a curated record
ACUGAAGAAGGAAUGAGAUCAGGCCAUAUCGUUCAUUCUUCCAUUAUUUUCCUUUCCACUCUCUGGUUCUGAACAACCUAUUCUUCUCUCAGCAAAAUCGAUAAAAAAAUUUUAGGGGUUUAUUCCAAAUCAAGUUGAAUUGUAGUUUCCGUUGUUUAUUUGGUAAUUUUUGGUGAUGAUAUGGCAGUGGGCGAGAUUGUUCUUGGCGGCUUAAUGAUUGGGUAGCUGUUGUUGAUGGUUGUUCUCGCUUAAAGUUGCUGGUGGUGAUUUGUUCUUGUCGUGCUCGAAGAAUUUUUUUCACAGGCGAUGGAGGUUCGAGGUCAACACCAGCCAAACUGCACAACAAGUGUUUGAGAAAUGUCCCAAAACAAACAAUGGUGGUAAUCAAAGUGUGGUACAUGUGUUCAUGUGGUGAGGACUCGUUACUUGUGAUCUAGCAUGAGCGGUCUUUCAACUCAAUUAAUAUUGGAAACAUUCAUGUGCAACUAUACCGUAUUAUGGGUCAGUAUGGAGUACCGCUUAAUGAUUCUGUUCGUGUAGUUGCAAAUGCCAAUAUUGCGAUGGAAAAAUUAGCGGUGAAGUUCUUCGGAACAUGAGUUACAAAUACUAUUUCUGGGAUUUGAUUGUUGAGCCAACUACCUUCGGCAACUGAAUCUAUAGGAUGUUGAACUUGGGUUUGAGCAUUGAUGAAGAUUGUGCUGACACAGAAGCUGACCUAGAGAUGCAUGAACUUGUUGAAGACGAUGCUAAGGGUAGCAAGAUGAAGAAGGUCGACUAAGCCCUUAGUUGAUUGCUUUGAGUUUCUUUUGUCGACAAUUUCUGUUGAUAUUAGCUUUUUUUUUACUACUUUUUUUUUUCUUCCUGCUUUAGAAUUUUGGUACUUUCUUUUACGAAAAAUAGUGGGUGAAUUCUAGGUUGCCACGCUUCAAGGAGAUAGUGACAUGUACAUAUGUUAUGCGUACAUAUUAAAUUGUUUAUGAAUAACUGAGUUAACUAGCUGCUGAAA